This 462-nucleotide ribosomal RNA is filed under the name uncultured bacterium. Its description in RNAcentral is "partial 16S ribosomal RNA". It matches the Rfam family "Bacterial small subunit ribosomal RNA", at positions 28 to 507 of the family's 1533-position model. The record is from RNAcentral.
GACGAACGCUGGCGGCGUGCUUAACACAUGCAAGUCGAGCGGAAAGGCCCUUCGGGGUACUCGAGCGGCGAACGGGUGAGUAACACGUGAGUAACCUGCCCCAGACUUUGGGAUAACCCUCGGAAACGGGGGCUAAUACCGGAUACGACACAGCUUCGCAUGGGGUCCGUGUGGAAAGUUUUUCGGUUUGGGAUGGGCUCGCGGCCUAUCAGCUUGUUGGUGGGGUGAUGGCCUACCAAGGCGACGACGGGUAGCCGGCCUGAGAGGGCGACCGGCCACACUGGGACUGAGACACGGCCCAGACUCCUACGGGAGGCAGCAGUGGGGAAUAUUGCACAAUGGGCGGAAGCCUGAUGCAGCGACGCCGCGUGAGGGAUGACGGCCUUCGGGUUGUAAACCUCUUUCAGCAGGGACGAAGCGUAAGUGACGGUACCUGCAGAAGAAGCGCCGGCCAACUACGUG